GCUGGCCGCACCACCCCACGCGGUCUCGAAACCAGGCACAGGGCAGGCAGCCGCGCGGGGCCGUCUCCCCUUCCGUUCCGCCUCGCCGAAACGACAGACAGACGAGUUGCUCCAGCCGUCACCGUCAAGUAACGGACCCCCACCCCAGCCCCGCGUCCAGGGCCUCCAGGCUCCUUCUGGGGGAGGCCGCGGCUCACCGUGUUGGCUGCGCCCCCACCGUCGCCUCGCCUUAAACUCUCCCCGCCUCCGUUACCGUCUUCCCCCUUCCCACCUCCCCCACCCGCUGUGUUCAUCCAUCGACCGCGCGAGCCCCCGCCCGCCGAUUCGACGACGUUUGAUUUUUUUUCAUUUGAUUUGAUUGUAACGUACCGCAGCAGGAGGAGGGAGGGAUUCUUGGACCGUUGUUCGGCUGGAUGGUGGAGGCGGUUCGUCGAUUUGAGAGCUCCGGGUUUCUUGGACCUGCGUAGGUAAAAGCACCACCCCCCCCAUUUCCUCUCGGCUGGCGGAUGGACGCGAGGGAGGUGUGAAGCCUGGUCGCUAACUGAUGCUCGUGGAGCGAUUCGGAGGAGAGGAGCGCGCCGUGCGGAGGCGGUGGAGGAGGAAGCGCCGAAGAUUUGGGCAGAGAAGCGACGGAAGGGGAGCAGCAGGCGGACGAGGAGCGAGCCGCCAGGAGGACGACGGCCGCCGCCGCCGCCAUGGGCGAGUCGCUGCUCACCGCGCUCUCCAUGGACACCACCACGGCCCACCAUCCACACCAGGGCCCUUUCACCUUCCUCUCCAUGGACACCGCCUCCCACGACCACUUCGACCUCUUCCUCCCGCCACAGGGGCCCUUCCGCCGCUGCCUACAUGCCGCGGCGGUCGCCCCCCCUGACAUCAACCUCCCCCUCACCGCCGACCCGUCUCCGCCACCUCCGGCGUCGCACGACGCCAACGUUGACGUGCUAGAUGCCGGCCUCGGCGGCCCGCAGCACUACGACUCGGAUUCGCCCGCUGCUGCCGGGCCUGUCUUGGCCCCAGCAGCAGCCGCGGCCACCGUGAUCGCCGUGUCCCACACCAAGGGCUCCGGUUCCAGCGUGGCGCGCAAGUGCGUCAAGAGGAAUGAUAGCAUUUGGGGAGCGUGGUUCUUCUUCACCCACUACUUCAAGCCAGUCAUGUCCACCGACAAGGGUGGCAAGGCGAAGGCAGCCACCACCGGCGGGAAUGGUAAUAGUGCCAGUGCCACUCUGGACGCUUUCCUGGUGCAGCACGACAUGGAGAACAUGUACAUGUGGAUCUUUAAGGAGCGAUCGGAGAAUGCCCUGGGGAAGAUGCAGCUGAGGAGCUUCAUGAAUGGGCACUCGCGCCUUGGGGAUCCACAGUUCCCUUUCAGCGCAGACAAAGGGUUUGUGCGCUCACACCGGAUGCAGCGCAAGCAUUAUCGUGGGCUCUCUAACCCGCAGUGUAUUCACGGGAUCGAAAUCGUGAGGGCGCCAAACUUGGCAGGUGUACCUGAGUCUGAUUUAAAGAGGUGGAUGGAGCUCACCGGGAGGGAUGCCAAUUUCUCGAUCCCAGCCGAGGCAAGUGAUUUCGAGUCUUGGAGGAAUCUGCCGAGCACGGAAUUUGAGCUCGAGAGGCUAGCAGCCGUGGUUCCUACAAAGAGUAGCUCACAUGGGCACCACAAGAGGUUGCUGAACGGUUCUGGCCUUAACCUAUCGACACAACCAUCCAAUCACAGUUCUGGGGAUGCCAUGGAGAUCGCAACCAUCUGUAACAAGCGCAGGAAGGAUUCCUCACCGUCUGCAACGGAAGAGGACUGCAGCAAUUCGAAUUCAGACAAGGCCCAAGACAUGGAUGUGAGCCACACCUUUGAGCCAUCAUGGAUGAAUGACUUCACAGGUGUGAUGCGCCAUGCUUCUGGACCAGUAACUGCCGCAAAAACAAUAUAUGAGGACAGCAAGGGCUACUUGAUCAUUGUUAGCCUGCCUUUCUCUGAUUUUCAGAAGGUGAAGGUUUCAUGGAAGAAUACUCUUACGAAUGGGAUUGUUAAGGUAUCUUGCAUUAGCGUUGGUAGGAUGCCAUUAUUGAAAAGGCAUGAUCGGACUUUCAAGUUGGCGGAUCCUUCUCCUGAGCAUUGCCCACCAGGAGAGUUUGUCCGGGAAAUCCCACUGCCUACCCGGAUCCCUGAAGAUGCCACUCUGGAAGCAUACCGCGAUGAAACGGGGACAGGCCUGGAGAUUAUUGUCCCAAAGUACCGUGUUGGCCCUGAAGAACAUGAGGUGCAUGUGUCCAUGAGACCGCCCUCGUCAUGGUGCCAAUGAAACUUGUUCCGAGGUGUGUGAUGGAUGAUGCCCUUGUAGUAGUUACUGGUCCAUCCUUGUUAGUGCUUGACUGAUGUUUUGUUUUCUCCUAACCCUAUAUAGCUCGAGGGGAGACACAUCUGGUGCGGAGGUUCCCUGUUGUUACCAUAAGGCUGAGGCUACUGUCCGAGAAACGCAGCUCAGUUUUGCCAAUUUUGAUGGGGAACAGUCCUAAUUGAUUCAAGCAUUCUGGUAGUUGGCAUUGCAGCAUUUGGAACGUAUUAGCUUUUGCAGGUCUAUGGGGUUAGGUUUGCUGUUAUGUUUCUCAAGACUUCCAAUUGAUCCCGUUGAGACGACAAAGUGAACGCUGACACAACGGUUUCUAACGCUUCCCUUGAAGUGACAAGAUGUUUGGAUACUUUACUUUACCCCAGAGAGGCAGGGCCUAGACUCUCUCCAGCAAGGUGCGCUAUAUGCUCCUCUACUCUAUAUUUAGCGCAUGGUGAUCAACUUUUUUCCUCCAACAACGUGCGCUAAAGGGUCCGGUAAAAUAGAGGACGUCCUCAACCACCUCCAAAUGCAGCGGCUCCUCUAUUCGUGUCUCUCUACUUCAGCUCCGCUAGAAAUGUACAACAACAUGCAGUAUAAUAAGUAUUGUAGCUGAAUUAAUGAAGAAUAAGUAGCAGCAAGCAAUAUUAUUAGGUGUCUGCUCAAAUAUGUAUAGUAAUUUUUUUAAGAUCUGCCAAGGAAACUUUGUAAUAAAAAGGUGUACUAUUUUAGGUGAAGAAAAUUAAUAUACAUCGUAUUUUAAUACUA
This is an RNA transcript of Zea mays, 3095 nucleotides long. RefSeq lists it as uncharacterized. Lineage: Eukaryota; Viridiplantae; Streptophyta; Magnoliopsida; Poales; Poaceae. The transcript has 3 exons. The record is from RefSeq and is marked validated.